RNAcentral lists this long non-coding RNA (214 nucleotides) under Elaeis guineensis (African oil palm). Its description in RNAcentral is "long non-coding RNA (EGUI_LNC025513)". The record is from RNAcentral. Lineage: Eukaryota; Viridiplantae; Streptophyta; Magnoliopsida; Arecales; Arecaceae.
UUUGGGUUGGGUCAUUCAUCAGAGUUUUUUGUUUUUUUUUUAGCUCAACAUUUUGUUGCAUCCAGUAUAGCAGGUCAGAUGAACUCAUUUCAUAAUCAUUGCCUCACAAUAAACUCAUUUUUGAACCGAGGCUUUACGGCCAGGGUUCGGAUUAUUCCUUUCGUAUAAAAGAAUGAUUGAUCUUUUUUUGUGACGUCAAUUGUUGGAUCGUACC